UGAAAUCUGGCGUAUUCUGCGUCCGAGUUGUAAUUUGAAGAAGGAUACUUUGGGGUUGGCUCUUGUCUAUGUUUCUUGGAACAGAACGUCACAGAGGGUGAGAAUCCCGUGCGAUGAGAAGCCCAAUUCCGUGUAAAGUGCCUUCGAAGAGUCGAGUUGUUUGGGAAUGCAGCUCUAAGUGGGUGGUAAAUUCCAUCUAAAGCUAAAUAUUGGCGAGAGACCGAUAGCGAACAAGUACAGUGAUGGAAAGAUGAAAAGAACUUUGAAAAGAGAGUGAAAAAGUACGUGAAAUUGUUGAAAGGGAAGGGCUUGAGAUCAGACUUGGUAUUUUGUAUGUCUUGCUUUCGGGUGGGGCCUCUGCAGUUUACUGGGCCAGCAUCGGUUCGGGUGGUAGGACAAUUGCGAAGGAACGUGGCACUGCUUCGGUGGUGUGUUAUAGCCUUUGUGGAUACUGCCUGUCU
RNAcentral lists this ribosomal RNA (461 nucleotides) under Hemisphaericaspora elongata. Its description in RNAcentral is "Spathaspora elongata partial large subunit ribosomal RNA". It matches the Rfam family "Eukaryotic large subunit ribosomal RNA", at positions 116 to 584 of the family's 3401-position model. Lineage: Eukaryota; Fungi; Ascomycota; Pichiomycetes; Serinales; Debaryomycetaceae. The record is from RNAcentral.